Non-coding RNA from Pelobates cultripes (western spadefoot toad), 385 nucleotides. The record is from the annotation of a GenBank genome assembly. NCBI's taxonomy places the organism in Eukaryota, Metazoa, Chordata, Amphibia, Anura, Pelobatidae.
CUGUGAUUGCUCGGCCUGGAGGUGUGGCGCUUCUCGCUUGCUGAUUGGCUGCAGUGUGAGAAGGUCUCGGUCAGAGGACAGAAGGAACAUGGCGGCGCUGAGGAGAUUGCUGAUCGCUGGGAAGGUAAGGCCGGGCUGUGACGGUUCUCUCACUGUCCUCUCCCCGCUCUCUGACAUGGCAUUCACCGCUCUCUGUCUCUUCACAGGCCCCUGUUUCCGGCUUACUGCAGAGAGGAUUCCACGGGAGCUCCCCGGCCGCCCUGCAGGUACUGUGCCCGACCCUGAGCUGAGGACACCCGCCUUCCAGAGGCUCUAACCUUGACACCAUACAUAGCUUCCGGACUACAUUACCCAUGAUGCUCAUGGGCCCUGCCAGACCCUCUAU